Molecule: non-coding RNA, 918 nt
Organism: Ictidomys tridecemlineatus (thirteen-lined ground squirrel)
Lineage: Eukaryota; Metazoa; Chordata; Mammalia; Rodentia; Sciuridae
Source: RefSeq, a predicted model, not a curated record
AUUGCGCCUGCGCCUCGCGGGCCCCGCCCCGAAACCUGUCCGGGGAGCUCACAGCGCUUGACUAGGGAAGGGGGCGUGGCUGCGCGCGCUUCCACGGGGACUGUCUCCCACCGCGCAGCCUGGCUUUGGGAGGCGUAGCGAAGGCUUCUGGUUCCGCAUCUGGCACUUUGGAACUAUACUUCCCUCCGCUGCUGUGUCAAUGUCCGAGGCCCCCCUCCCCAUACUCUCCUUCAGAGAACCAAAUGAAACAUCCACCCUUUAUUUUUCUUUGUCAUUCAUUCAUAAAGCUCCAUUUUAUAUUCGCCAGGUUCCAGGCCUGGUUCUGAGUACUAAGGAAAAACAACUGAAUAAAAAUAAGGCCUUUAUUCUCAAGAGCACAGGAUUAGCAAGCAAACCAAAUACAAGCAGUACGCUGCUGAAGACCAUCGGUGAGACGCAGCUCACACACAGUGUGCACAGCUCAUCCUACCAUUAAAGUGGUAUAUGAUGUGCAAGUAUCAUUACUCUUUCAAAUCGGGGCCGGAAUGGUACCUGGAAAUGGGAAAUAAAAUGAUUCAAAAGAGAGAGCCUAAAACCCAGAGGUCCAAGCCAAGGACCAAGAAUAAUCACUCAGGAAGCAUCACUGUGCUCUUAUCAAGCAGGCUUGGUGCCAUGUGCCUGAGUGGAUUUCAGAAUUGCCAUGGAAUCUGUGAUUUUUUUUUUUUUACCUUUGUUCCUUCCCUUUUUUGGAUAGACCUGUCUAUUAUAGGCAAUCUCUGUCUCACCAUCAGAGCCUGAGAAAAAUAUUUUCUUUAAUCCACAGGCUCUAUAAUAAUUAGAAACUCUACCCAUAAAUCUGUAUUCAAGGAACCUCACCUGAGGGACUAUAGGUAGACUUGUGCUUUGUGUCCCCAAAAUAAAAAUGCUGAAUCCCUUAAA